This 329-nucleotide unclassified non-coding RNA is filed under the name soil metagenome. RNAcentral describes it as "partial contains 5.8S ribosomal RNA, internal transcribed spacer 2, and large subunit ribosomal RNA". The stretch from base 1 to 120 matches the Rfam family "5.8S ribosomal RNA", at positions 35 to 154 of the family's 154-position model. The record is from RNAcentral.
GAUGAAGAACGUAGCGAAAUGCGAUAAGUAGUGUGAAUUGCAGACUUUAGUGAAUCAUCGAAUCUUUGAACGCACAUUGCGCCCCUUGGUAUCCCGAGGGGCAUGCCUGUUCGAGCGUCAUUUCACCACUCAAGCCUGGCUUGGUGUUGGGCGACGUCCUCUUUGGGGACGCGCCUCGAAACGCUCGGCGGCGUGGCACCGGCUUUAAGCGUAGCAGAAUCUUUCGCUUUGGAAGUCGGGGCCCCGUCUGCCGGAAGACCUGCUCGCAAGGUUGACCUCGGAUCAGGCAGGGAUACCCGCUGAACUUAAGCAUAUCAAUAAGCGGAGGA